GAUCUUAACGACAAUAGCAGUGUGUUUGGAUUUGACCACUGCGAUCGCCUCCUGGAUGCAAUGGAUGCUCAGCUUGAGCAAUUGCAGGUCCUGCCCCAGAAAUGUGAGCUUAAUUGCAGCAGUGCAGCUCCUCUUGGUUGGAGUCAGUCUCUGGGCAAAGAUACGGGCCUGGAAAGUACAAGUGAACAAAAUGGUACCC
This is a non-coding RNA of Maylandia zebra (zebra mbuna), 199 nucleotides long. NCBI's taxonomy places the organism in Eukaryota, Metazoa, Chordata, Actinopteri, Cichliformes, Cichlidae. The record is from RefSeq and is a predicted model, not a curated record.